Molecule: long non-coding RNA, 147 nt
Filed under: Danio rerio (zebrafish)
Lineage: Eukaryota; Metazoa; Chordata; Actinopteri; Cypriniformes; Danionidae
Description: lncRNA si:ch211-198i6.4 (ENSDARG00000105183.2)
Source: RNAcentral
GGUUUGAGUGUGAGUCAGGCAUGUCCUCUCAACUACUCUCCUGUCUGCGGUAAUGAUGGCAACACAUACGUCAAUGAAUGCACCCUGUGUGUGCAGAGAAUGCACUCUAAUGCGGACAUUUUGAUUGUGAAAGAUGGCCGCUGCUGA